RNAcentral lists this signal recognition particle RNA (300 nucleotides) under Microcebus murinus (gray mouse lemur). RNAcentral describes it as "Metazoan signal recognition particle RNA (ENSMICG00000027435.2)". It matches the Rfam family "Metazoan signal recognition particle RNA". From Rfam's summary of the family: The signal recognition particle (SRP) is a universally conserved ribonucleoprotein. It is involved in the co-translational targeting of proteins to membranes. The record is from RNAcentral. Lineage: Eukaryota; Metazoa; Chordata; Mammalia; Primates; Cheirogaleidae.
GCCGGACGCGGUGGCGCGCGCCUGUAGUCCCAGCUACUCGGGAGGCUGAGAUGGGAGGAUCGCUUGAGCCCAGGAGUUCUGGGCCGUAGUGCGCUCUGCCGAUCGGGCGUCCACACUAAGUUCGGCAUCAAUAUGGUGACCUCCCGGGAGCGGGGGACCACCAGGUUGCCUAAGGAGGGGUGAACCGGCCCAGGUCGGAAACGGAGCAGGUCAGAACUCCCGUGCUGAUCAAAAGACUCAGCUUUUUCUGUAAUGCUCCUUUUCCUUACUGGGUAAAAAAGUACCAAGGUGGCCACCUCU